CCUACGGGUGGCAGCAGUGGGGAAUAUUGGACAAUGGGGGGAACCCUGAUCCAGCCAUGCCGCGUGUGUGAAGAAGGCCCUCGGGUUGUAAAGCACUUUCAGUGAGGAAGAACGCCUGGUGGUUAAUACCCAUCAGGAAAGACAUCACUCACAGAAGAAGCACCGGCUAACUCCGUGCCAGCAGCCGCGGUAAUACGGAGGGUGCGAGCGUUAAUCGGAAUUACUGGGCGUAAAGCGCGCGUAGGUGGCUUGAUAAGCCGGUUGUGAAAGCCCCGGGCUCAACCUGGGAACGGCAUCCGGAACUGUCAAGCUAGAGUGCAGGAGAGGAAGGUAGAAUUCCCGGUGUAGCGGUGAAAUGCGUAGAGAACGGGAGGAAUACCAGUGGCGAAGGCGGCCUUCUGGACUGACACUGACACUGAGGUGCGAAAGCGUGGGUAGCAAACAGGAUUAGAUACCCCAGUAGUC
RNAcentral lists this ribosomal RNA (465 nucleotides) under Vreelandella stevensii. RNAcentral describes it as "partial 16S ribosomal RNA". It matches the Rfam family "Bacterial small subunit ribosomal RNA", at positions 338 to 795 of the family's 1533-position model. Lineage: Bacteria; Pseudomonadati; Pseudomonadota; Gammaproteobacteria; Oceanospirillales; Halomonadaceae. The record is from RNAcentral.